UGGGGAAUAUUGCACAAUGGAGGGAACUCUGAUGCAGCGACGCCGCGUGAACGAAGAAGGCUUUCGAGUCGUAAAGUUCUUUUAUAUGGGAAGAUAAUGACGGUACCAUAAGAAAAAGCCCCGGGUAACUACGUGCCAGCAGCCGCGGUAAUACGGAGGGGGCUAGCGUUGUCCGGAAUCACUGGGCGUAAAGGGUUCGCAGGCGGAAAUGCAAGUCAGGUGUAAAAGGCAGUAGCUUAACUACUGUAAGCAUUUGAAACUGCAUAUCUUGAGAAGAGUAGAGGUAAGUGGAAUUUUUAGUGUAGCGGUGAAAUGCGUAGAUAUUAAAAAGAAUACCGGUGGCGAAGGCGACUUACUGGGCUCAUUCUGACGCUGAGGAACGAAAGCGUGGGUAGCAAACAGG
Molecule: ribosomal RNA, 403 nt
Filed under: bacterium
Lineage: Bacteria
Description: partial 16S ribosomal RNA
Rfam family: Bacterial small subunit ribosomal RNA
Source: RNAcentral